UACCUUCCUUCCUCCCUGGAUGUGAAUCGGAGUUGAGUGUUUCUCGAAGCAAAGACUCAGAGUUCUUGUCCAGGAGUACUGUGGUAGUGCAAACUGGCUGGGAGAAAGAAGAUGUGCAGGCUGAGCCUGUUUGUCGAAACAUCGAGGCCUCCAGUUGGCAGAAACCCUGGGAGAUGCUGGUCCUUACCUACUGUGUGCAGAAACUACUAAUCGUUUUGUAUGUCAGAGGCAGUGUUGUUUCAGCCUCUCCUGAAAAAGUCGAGGGGUGGGGCUAGGAAGUACUCGUUUGAGAAGACAUUAACCAGACCAUCCUUCUUCUCCCCCACCUAAGAGAAAGGGC
RNAcentral lists this long non-coding RNA (340 nucleotides) under Androctonus crassicauda. Lineage: Eukaryota; Metazoa; Arthropoda; Arachnida; Scorpiones; Buthidae. The record is from RNAcentral.